ACACGUGGGUAACCUGCCUUAUAGUGGGGGAUAGCCUUUCGAAAGGAAGAUUAAUACCGCAUAAGAUUGUAGUAUCGCACGAUAUAGCAAUUAAAGGAGCAAUCCGCUAUAAGAUGGACCCGCGUCGCAUUAGCUAGUUGGUGAGGUGAUGGCUCACCAAGGCGACGAUGCGUAGCCGACCUGAGAGGGUGAUCGGCCACAUUGGGACUGAGACACGGCCCAGACUCCUACGGGAGGCAGCAUG
Molecule: ribosomal RNA, 244 nt
Filed under: uncultured bacterium
Lineage: Bacteria
Description: partial 16S ribosomal RNA
Rfam family: Bacterial small subunit ribosomal RNA
Source: RNAcentral